This 1143-nucleotide long non-coding RNA is filed under the name Bos mutus (wild yak). RNAcentral describes it as "lncRNA (ENSBMUG00000020938.1)". Lineage: Eukaryota; Metazoa; Chordata; Mammalia; Artiodactyla; Bovidae. The record is from RNAcentral.
AUGAGACUGAAAGCUCCUGGAUGGGAAAAGCUCUAUCCUAGAGUCUGUGGCACAGGAAUUAACACCCAUUGCCUCCUAGAAGGCACACGGAGGCCGAUUCUCAGCUCCCGGAAAAACAACUUAAAGCUUGAGUCAAGACACCCCAUGUGCUACUCAAGGAUCUUCCCUGCAACACUGUUUAUCAUAAGAGAUUGUAAACGUGAAUGCCUAUCAACAGCAGAGUGGUCAAAUUAUAGUAUGCCAAUGAUGGAGUGCUCUGUGGUUGUGAAAUGACAGAAGAUCUAAGUAUGCUGUUAAGAGAGAAGAGGCAAUUUACAUACAUGUGUGUUCCACAGGCAAAGACAAUUCAUUGAAAGACAUUUAUUCAUUCAACAAAUAUUUGUUAACCAUUUUAAGGUAUCAAGAAACUUAGUAACUUGUGAGGGGGUGGGUCUGAGGGGGUAAAUGGUAACUUGUACUUUCUGGUAAGCUUCUGUACAUUAAAAAAAAAAAACUCCACAGGCAUUACUUUGUAUAAAGUCAAAAUAAGUUUGGGAAAACAAGAAGAAAUAUCUAGCAAGUACUUGAUUAGAAAAGGACAGAGCUAUACAGAACUCAGCAGUAACUUACAUUUUCCCCCUGCAAUUCUACAAAGGAGGAUGGCAGUAGGCGCAACCUAUUUUUAGUGCAGGUAGGAAUUUAAACCCGGAAAAAAAACCCAACGAACCCACCCUAGGGCUGAUAAUAACCUGAAUACCGAUUAACGUCGGCGGCCCAGGUCUUCCUACCACACAAUCUGCAGAAGUUUUAUCUGUAGGUGCGGUGCAACUGAAGCUGAGGGCGCUGCUGCUAUCGAUCUCAAGGGUGCAUCUUACACACGGGGGCAUUCACCUCGCAGGCCAGGGUCAAGUUGGAAAGCGACCCGGAAUCUGGAACCUCUCGGUCCGCUUUACCAACGGGGCAUCUCAGGCCCCAAGAGGUCGCGCGGGGCUGGGUUGUGACUGCCCCAGCGCUGCCGUCAAAGGCCACACUGCUCACACGGUAAACUCACACUGCUUACAGUGUAAAGCUUACACGUCCGGUAAAACUCCCGCAGCUUCCAGCCGCCCUCGGCGUCCAGUCCACGGGCCCCGGGACAUGGUGGAGGGCCCGGAGCCAGCACCU